Hydra vulgaris (swiftwater hydra) is the source of this 165-nucleotide long non-coding RNA. RefSeq lists it as uncharacterized. The record is from RefSeq and is a predicted model, not a curated record. Lineage: Eukaryota; Metazoa; Cnidaria; Hydrozoa; Anthoathecata; Hydridae.
CAAAAGAACACAAUAAAAUUUACUGAAGUUUUUUUAACAAGAUGUAAAGCAAGACUUUUAAAAGCAAUUAAAGUUAAGAGUAGCACUGCAAGCAGUUUAAAUGAAUUAGGUCGACAAGAUAUUAUUAAGUUUGGAUCAAAAUACAGAUCUAGCCCAGACACUGUU